UGGUGGAGUGAUUUGUCUGCUUAAUUGCGAUAACGAACGAGACCUUGACCUGCUAAAUAGCCCGGUUGACUUUUGUCGGCCGCCGGCUUCUUAGAGGGACUUUUGGCUCAAGCCAAUGGAAGUACGAGGCAAUAACA
Molecule: ribosomal RNA, 137 nt
Filed under: uncultured eukaryote
Lineage: Eukaryota
Description: partial 18S ribosomal RNA
Rfam family: Eukaryotic small subunit ribosomal RNA
Source: RNAcentral